RNAcentral lists this ribosomal RNA (802 nucleotides) under Acidithiobacillus thiooxidans. Its description in RNAcentral is "bacterial SSU rRNA". It matches the Rfam family "Bacterial small subunit ribosomal RNA", at positions 427 to 1214 of the family's 1533-position model. Lineage: Bacteria; Pseudomonadati; Pseudomonadota; Acidithiobacillia; Acidithiobacillales; Acidithiobacillaceae. The record is from RNAcentral.
AAAGAUCUUUCUGGAGGACGAAAAGGUGGGUGCUAAUAUCUCCUCCUGUUGACGUGAAUCCAAGAAGAAGCACCGGCUAACUCCGUGCCAGCAGCCGCGGUAAUACGGGGGGUGCAAGCGUUAAUCGGAAUCACUGGGCGUAAAGGGUGCGUAGGCGGUGCAUUAGGUCUGUCGUGAAAUCCCCGGGCUCAACCUGGGAAUGGCGGUGGAAACCGGUGUACUAGAGUAUGGGAGAGGGCGGUGGAAUUCCAGGUGUAGCGGUGAAAUGCGUAGAGAUCUGGAGGAACAUCAGUGGCGAAGGCGGCCACCUGGCCCAAUACUGACGCUGAGGCACGAAAGCGUGGGGAGCAAACAGGAUUAGAUACCCUGGUAGUCCACGCCCUAAACGAUGAAUACUAGAUGUUUGGUGCCAAGCGUACUGAGUGUCGUAGCUAACGCGAUAAGUAUUCCGCCUGGGAAGUACGGCCGCAAGGUUAAAACUCAAAGGAAUUGACGGGGGCCCGCACAAGCGGUGGAGCAUGUGGUUUAAUUCGAUGCAACGCGAAGACCUUACCUGGGCUUGACAUGUCUGGAAUCCUGCAGAGAUGCGGGAGUGCCCUUCGGGGGAAUCAGAACACAGGGUGCUGCAUGGCCUGUCGUCAGCUCGUGUCGUGAGAUGUUGGGUUAAGUCCGCAACAAGCGCCACCCUUGUCCUUAAGUUGCCGCGGGUUCGGCCGGGCACUCUUAGGGAAGACUGCCGGGGACAAACCGGGAGGAAGGUGGGGGAUGACCUCAAUCCUCAUGGCCCUUUUAUGUCCAGGGC